Molecule: ribosomal RNA, 605 nt
Filed under: bacterium 03-L049616-122-011-C01
Lineage: Bacteria
Description: bacterial SSU rRNA
Rfam family: Bacterial small subunit ribosomal RNA
Source: RNAcentral
GCAGUCGAACGAUGAAGCCUUUCGGGGUGGAUUAGUGGCGAACGGGUGAGUAACACGUGGGCAAUCUGCCCUUCACUCUGGGACAAGCCCUGGAAACGGGGUCUAAUACCGGAUAACACUCUGUCCCGCAUGGGACGGGGUUAAAAGCUCCGGCGGUGAAGGAUGAGCCCGCGGCCUAUCAGCUUGUUGGUGGGGUAAUGGCCUACCAAGGCGACGACGGGUAGCCGGCCUGAGAGGGCGACCGGCCACACUGGGACUGAGACACGGCCCAGACUCCUACGGGAGGCAGCAGUGGGGAAUAUUGCACAAUGGGCGAAAGCCUGAUGCAGCGACGCCGCGUGAGGGAUGACGGCCUUCGGGUUGUAAACCUCUUUCAGCAGGGAAGAAGCGAAAGUGACGGUACCUGCAGAAGAAGCGCCGGCUAACUACGUGCCAGCAGCCGCGGUAAUACGUAGGGCGCAAGCGUUGUCCGGAAUUAUUGGGCGUAAAGAGCUCGUAGGCGGCUUGUCACGUCGGAUGUGAAAGCCCGGGGCUUAACCCCGGGUCUGCAUUCGAUACGGGCUAGCUAGAGUGUGGUAGGGGAGAUCGGAAUUCCUGGUGUAGCG